CUCAGGCCCGACCUCCCAACCCUCUGUCUACUAGACCUCUGUUGCUUCGGCGGACCCGCUCCCAAACGGACCGCCGGAGGACCGCCCAUCGUGCCGCGUCCUCUGGCCAGCGUCCGCCGAUAGCCCCUUCAAACUCUGGAACAAUCAUGAUUUUAUCGUCUAAGUGAUUUUAUUCAAUUAAAAGCAAAAACUUUCAACAACGGAUCUCUUGGUUCUGGCAUCGAUGAAGAACGCAGCGAAAUGCGAUAAGUAAUGCGAAUUGCAGAAUUCCAGUGAGUCAUCGAAUCUUUGAACGCACAUUGCGCCCUUUGGUAUUCCGAAGGGCAUGCCUGUUCGAGCGUCAUUAUCACCCCCUCAAGCCCCGUGCUUGGUGUUGGACGGCUUGGUAGAGUCUCUCUACCCCUCCUAAAGACAAUGACGGCGGUCUCGUGGAUCCCCCGGUACACUGAGCUUCUUAACUGAGCACGUAUCGGAUCAAGGGCGCCCGGGGCACGGUCUUCUCCCCUUUCCAUGGGGAAAUUUUCUCAAGGUUGACCUCGGAUCAGGUAGGAAUACGCGCUGAA
RNAcentral lists this ribosomal RNA (563 nucleotides) under Cladophialophora sp. INBio2865O. RNAcentral's name for it is "eukaryotic LSU rRNA". The stretch from base 189 to 343 matches the Rfam family "5.8S ribosomal RNA". The record is from RNAcentral. Lineage: Eukaryota; Fungi; Ascomycota; Eurotiomycetes; Chaetothyriales; Herpotrichiellaceae.